Molecule: non-coding RNA, 400 nt
Organism: Pelobates cultripes (western spadefoot toad)
Lineage: Eukaryota; Metazoa; Chordata; Amphibia; Anura; Pelobatidae
Source: the annotation of a GenBank genome assembly
CACGGGUACCUACAGCCUUACCCCAUCCGUGUAGCUUCAUUGCGUGGGGUUUCCAGCACUGCAGCCUGAGUAAUCAUCAAGUGAGUAGCCUGUGCAGCAAGAACCCAUGCGAGGCACAACUUAUCAGCUUGCUGGCUUGGCUCCGCCCCCCGACAGCUCCUUUUUAAACAAAGCUCAAAAUAACAUAAAAAAACAUACAUAUAAAUCACAGAUUUCUAGAAUAGGGAUUGUAUAAUAUUUUAUUUUUAGUAGAAGUAUCCCCGGACUUGUCUUAUUUACAAGCUAAUGAUGCAAACUGCCUUAUGUACAAUUUCAGUUACUGACUGAUGACAGCGUUUAAAAGGGACAGAAAAAAAGAUGGAAUAGUUUCUUUGUCUCAAGGAGAAACUGAAAGAAUGAA